GACGAACGCUGGCGGCGUGCUUAACACAUGCAAGUCGAACGAUGAAGCCGGAGCUUGCUCCGGUAGAUUAGUGGCGAACGGGUGAGUAACACGUGAGCAAUCUGCCCUUGACUCUGGGAUAACUGCGGGAAACUGUAGCUAAUACCGGAUACGACACCUUGGGGCAUCCCAGGGUGUGGAAAGAAUUUCAGUCAAGGAUGAGCUCGCGGCCUAUCAGCUAGUUGGUGAGGUAAUGGCUCACCAAGGCGACGACGGGUAGCCGGCCUGAGAGGGUGACCGGCCACACUGGAACUGAGACACGGUCCAGACUCCUACGGGAGGCAGCAGUGGGGAAUAUUGCACAAUGGGCGAAAGCCUGAUGCAGCAACGCCGCGUGAGGGAUGAAGGCCUUCGGGUUGUAAACCUCUUUUAGCAGGGAAGAAGCGAAAGUGACGGUACCUGCAGAAAAAGCACCGGCUAACUACGUGCCAGCAGCCGCAGUAA
RNAcentral lists this ribosomal RNA (483 nucleotides) under uncultured bacterium. Its description in RNAcentral is "partial 16S ribosomal RNA". It matches the Rfam family "Bacterial small subunit ribosomal RNA", at positions 28 to 523 of the family's 1533-position model. The record is from RNAcentral.